This is a non-coding RNA of Pelobates cultripes (western spadefoot toad), 211 nucleotides long. NCBI's taxonomy places the organism in Eukaryota, Metazoa, Chordata, Amphibia, Anura, Pelobatidae. The record is from the annotation of a GenBank genome assembly.
CGGACACCGGUGUCUUGUCUAGACUAGCGUAUCUAGGGUGUACAUUUUGUUCGCUAGGUCGGAGGCACCGGGAGACUAAGCAGACUCUGGUGUACAUUAUCGUUUGCUAGUUCUCAACCUAUCUUGGCUAAGUGGGAAGGCAUGUAAAUUUGGAACCCACUAGACUAUUGAUAGAGUAGAUAGACUAAAAGGGUAUUGUUGUAAAUUCCGC